GCUGCUGCUAGCCUCUUCCAGUAUGUUUUGUGAGAACAAGAUGCAAAAACUUUGGAAGAAGUUGCUUACUGUUGCUUUUUAUAAGUAAAGAAGAAAGUGUAAUAGUGGGGCACUGGGCUUUGUGAUGUCGAUGUGCAUCUUUGUCAUUUGGCAGGAUGCUGCUGCUCCUGGAGAAGUUAUAGGGUAGGGCCAGCGGAGGGAUACCUUUUUGGGAAUUUUAAAGGAGAUUUUAUUUCUAAAAAAAAAAAAAGAAAUUCCUAAAAAUCAGGGGAUGGCCCAAACAUUAUGAAACUUUGUGGGCUAACAGUGGUAGAUAUAUCCUCCAAGUGUGGUCAUUUUCAUCCCAAUAGCCCUAAAAUGAUGGGAAGGGAAGCACAGGAAGCACCCCCAUUGCUGCAAAUGGGUUGGAUCUAGCCGUACUUUUUGGUUGCAGUCCGAAAAUGGCUAUUCAGUUACACACCUCUUUUCAGUCAUGCCAGACUAAUCUGAUCUCUUUUUUCGAUAGAGUUACGAGUUGGGUCGAUACAGGGAAUUCUGUGGAUGUAACGUACCUGGAUUUCAGUAGGGCCUUCGACAAAGUCCCCCAUGACCUUCUGGCAAACAAACUAGUAAAAUGUGGGCUAGACAAAACUACGAUCCACCUAACCGUAGUUUUGUCUAGCCCACAUUUUACUAGUUUGUUUGCCAGAAGGUCGUGGGGGACUUUGUCGAAGGCCUUACUGAAAUCCAGGUACGCUACAUCCACAGCAUUCCCUGUAUCGACCCAACUCGUAACUCUAUCGAAAAAAGAGAUCAGAUUAGUCUGGCAUGACUUGUUUUUGGUAAAUCCGUGUUGACUAUUAGCAAUGACCGCAUUUGUUUCUAAGUGUUCGCAGACCACUUCCGUAAUGAUCUUUUCCAGAAUUUUGCCUGGUAUUGAUGUGAGGCUGACCGGACGGUAAUUGUUUGGGUCGUUCUUUUUUCCCUUCUUGAAGAUAGGGUCCACAUUCGCCCUCCUCCAAUCUGCUGGGACUUCUCCCGUUCUCCAAGAACUCUCGAAGAUAAUUGCCAGUGGUUCUGAAAUAACUUCCGCUAGUUCCUUCAGUACUCUUGGGUGUAGCUGAUCUGGCCCUGGGGACUUGAAUUCGUUUAGAGAGGCCAAGUGUUCCUGGACAACUUGUUUCCCUAUUUGGGGUUGGAUUUCCCCCAAUCCUUCGUCCAUUCCGUGUUGCUGAGGUUGAAGAUGGCUUUCUUUUUCUGAGAAGACCGAGGCAAAGAAGGCAUUAAGCAGUUCUGCCUUUUCCCUAUCCCCUGUCACCAUCACCCCAUCUUCUCCUUGCAGAGGCCCUAUCGCCUCCUUUUUCUUCCUUUUUCUACCAACGUAAGCAAAAAAACCUUUUUUGUUGUUUUUUAUGUCCCUGGCAAGCCUGAGUUCAUUUUGCGCUUUAGCCUUGCGAACCUUUUCCCUACAGGUGUUGGCUAUACGUUUGAAUUCUUCUUUGGUGAUUUCUCCCCUUUUCCACUUCUUGUGCAUGUCACUUUUGAGCUUUUGAGGAGGAGGAGAGGAGAGGGGGAGGAAGAGGCGCACUGGCACCUUUUCUCCAGGUGAGGAUUGCAAGCCUGGGAGGAGGAGGUGGGGAUGCGCGCACAUGCAUCUCUCCAGCCACAAGUGCAUAAGCAGGCCUCCCCCUCCCACCUUCCUUCCCAGCCGCGAGCUUACCAGGUUGUGGGUGCCCACAUGCGCAUGGGGAGGAGGAGAGGGGAAGGAAGCGGCACAAUGGCACCUUUUCUCCAGGUGAGGAUUGUGAGCCUGGGAGGAGGAGGCGGGGGUGCAUGUGCAUGCAUGCACACAUGUGCGCAUGCGGGAGGGGGAAGGUGAGGUGUGCCCGGAGGGCGUGGCCCCCCUGUGGGGAGGGGAAAAAAAUAAAGAAAUUAAAAAAAAGCUUCUCAUUUAGGGCAUCAGCACCUCAAAUGCGCCCCCUAGAGGAUGGCGCCUUCAGAAACCACAUAGUUUGCCUAACAGUUGAACCGCCCCUGUGUGUAUCUGAAAUGCAGACUGAGCCUUUAUUUGCAAAAGCUUCUUGCAAAAGAAGGAUAUGGCUACAUCUCUAGAAAGUGCUGUAUGCUGUAUGUAUCUGUUGUAAUCAUGAGUUUGUUGCUUCAAUUGCAAUAAAACACCUGUGGGAAAUAAGAAACUUUCAAAUGAAUUGUCUUCACAAAUAUGGCAGAGCAGAUGGACUGUUUUCUUUUCAUUCUGUGAAUCUAAGCACAGGGUGUUUUUUGACAUUAUUCUUAUUAAUGGAUAUCAAUCGCAUCAUGGAGUAGGUAGGAAAACCUCUCAGAUUUUCCCAGACAGGGCGGAGAUGUCUACAGUCCAGUUUCCUCACUCAAGCGCCCUGCACAUGCUUAG
This 2389-nucleotide long non-coding RNA is filed under the name Anolis carolinensis (green anole). RNAcentral's name for it is "lncRNA (ENSACAG00000045346.1)". The record is from RNAcentral. Lineage: Eukaryota; Metazoa; Chordata; Lepidosauria; Squamata; Anolidae.